AACACGGAUUAGAUACCCUGGUAGUCCACGCCCUAAACGAUGUCAACUAGCUGUCGGGGUCUUCGGACUUUGGUAGCGCAGCUAACGCGUGAAGUUGACCGCCUGGGGAGUACGGUCGCAAGAUUAAAACUCAAAGGAAUUGACGGGGACCCGCACAAGCGGUGGAUGAUGUGGAUUAAUUCGAUGCAACGCGAAAAACCUUACCUACCCUUGACAUGUCUGGAAUCCCGAAGAGAUUUGGGAGUGCUCGAAAGAGAACCGGAACACAGGUGCUGCAUGGCCGUCGUCAGCUCGUGUCGUGAGAUGUUGGGUUAAGUCCCGCAACGAGCGCAACCCUUGUCAUUAGUUGCUACGAAAGGGAACUCUAAUGAGACUGCCGGUGACAAACCGGAGGAAGGUGGGGAUGACGUCAGGUCCUCAUGGCCCUUAUGGGUAGGGCUUCACACGUCAUACAAUGGUCGGGACAGAGGGCAGCCAACCCGCGAGGGGGAGCCAAUCCCAGAAACCCGAUCGUAGUCCGGAUUGCAGUCUGCAACUCGACUGCAUGAAGUCGGAAUCGCUAGUAAUCGCGGAUCAGCAUGCCGCGGUGAAUACGUUCCCGGGUCUUGUACACACCGCCCGUCACACCAUGGGAGUGGGUUCUACCAGAAGUAGUUAGCCUAACCGCAAGGAGGGCGAUUACCACGGUAGGGUUCAUGACUGGGGUGAAGUCGUAACAAGGUAGCCGUAA
Molecule: ribosomal RNA, 730 nt
Filed under: uncultured Pigmentiphaga sp.
Lineage: Bacteria; Pseudomonadati; Pseudomonadota; Betaproteobacteria; Burkholderiales; Alcaligenaceae
Description: bacterial SSU rRNA
Rfam family: Bacterial small subunit ribosomal RNA
Source: RNAcentral